CUCUCCUGACAUGAACUGAAGCCACGUCUCGUGCUCGCUCCUCCACUGGCACAUUGAAUGUUUUCUCUCCAAGCACUUCAAAUCCUGUCCUGCCCUCAGUGAAAGAGUUAUGCUCUUCUCUAACACCAUCCAUCCAUCCAUCCAUGAUGAGCCUGCAUGUUCGAUUCCAGGCUGAAUCACAACCGGCAGUGAUUGGGAGUACCAUAGGGCGGCGCACAUUUGGCCCAGUGUCAUCUGGGUUUGGCCGGUGUAAAUAAGAAUUUGUUCAAAAUUGACAUGCCUAGUUAAACAAAAUAAAUGUUAAAUUCACAUUCCCCUAAAAUGUAUUUUAUUAAAUGCUUUAGGUUAAAAUAAUUAGUUUUUGAUGAUCCUCCUCAGUGUUUUACGUCACCAGCAUCCACUGACAGAACACGUUUUUAAGGUGUUGGUGGUGGCUGCACGUUCUUUUAAUUCGGCCAUUCUGUUGCUCCUGGGGGAGUUUUCUACACUGCCUGCCGAGUGUGGGCUAACCAGAAAUGUGACGCUUCGGCAUGGAUCCGAUUGCCGAUUAGUUGCAUUUUGGAGUAGACCCAGAGCUUGCUUUCUUUGGCAGCGUGGAUUUCGCUCAAAUGGGAAAGUACUUUUUUCUUUCUUUUUUCUUACGGUCAAUGUUGUCACAGUUGCCCGCUUUCUUGUUAGAGGCAGCUGCUAACGUCAGCUCGCUAUAGCUAGCUAUCUUCCUCCGUGUCUGAAUUAAUUUGUGGAUAUUUCUUUCUAGCUAGUGAAUUUUCCCCCAACUUUGGACACUAGCGGUUGGAGGACUAAAUCACCUCCAGCUCAAAAUUUAAUGGACUGGAAAAUAACGAUAAAGUCAAAAGGAAGCAAUAUAGUGAGGUGGACAUCUUCCAUGCAGUGAAGGACUUUGGGGAUGGGAUGACUAUCCACCAGGCUGCCAAGGUGUAUAGUGUACCCCGGAAAACCCUGACGGACACUCUGAGCGGCCAGAUAACCCAUGGUUGUCGCAGUGGACCACCCACAUUGCUUGCACCAGAGGAUGAAAAUUCUCUGGUGCAGUACUAUAUCUACUGCGCUAGCCAUGGGGUUUCCUUUCACCAGACAACGGCUAAUGACAUAUCCAACAAAAUAAGCAGGUUUUGGCACCGAGGAGAAACAAUCCCACCACUGGGGAAGAGGUGGUAGGAAAUGUUCAGGAGGAAGCACAAGAAACUGAGCAUGAGGAGGCCAGACACCCUGGACAGGGGGAGAGCUGAGUGUGCCACCCGUCCGAUGAUGGACACCUUCUUGGAGGAGAGUGGGUUGAGGGAGAAACCCAGGCAAAUCUGUAACUGCGAUGAGUCUGAGUUUUAUAGCGACCAGAGCAGGCAUAGUCCUGGCUCUCCGGGGUGCUAAACACCUGUACCAGCAGGCUCCGGGAACCAAGGAGCACAUUAGUGCUGGCCUGCAUCCACGCAGCUGAGGAGGAUGUCCCCUUGUCUCCUUCUCCCCUUCGAUGGGCAUAAGAGCCGCAUGGACCCGGAGGUGCUCGCUGCGGCUCAAAGGGAAGGGGUUAUACUACUUUGUCUUCCACCACACUGCACCCAUGUCCAGCAGCCGCUGCAUGUGGCAUAUUGUGGCGCUGUAAGGCUGAGUUCUCCAAGGUCGUUGAAGACCUCAGCCAUUUUGACCACUCCUAUAUCGUAAACAAAUCAGAAUUUCCUCGAGUAUUCUUCUACCUGUACCAGCGCUACUAAGACAUGCUGUAUGUGGUGGAAGGGUCCUUACCUUGCUGAAGUAUCAGCCAGACCGAUACAGAAGACUCCCUGUGGUCACCACAUACCCCACCAGGGAGGAAUACAUGCCCCAGUGGCAGGACAGUGGUGAGAGGGCAGAGAGGAAUACUGUUGGGCAGCCCUCAGAACAGAGGGCACAGGAGAGGGCUGCCAUGGAUGAGACCAUCGACGCCAUCGCCUAUGCUGGACCCCCCCCUCACUGGAACCAUACCUGACAGCUGCAUCACCACCGCCCAUGCCUCCCAGUGUGCAACACCUGUAGGAGCAGGCCAUGUGAAUGCUCUCUCCCAGCCACACGAUUGUCGGUUGCUCAAUCCCACCAACACCAGCUUCUCUAAGCCACCGGCGUCGGGUUUUGUCCACCACCACAAUGCAAACCAGCCCCCCCUGUCUGUCAACCCCGAAACGGCCUCCUCUGGACCAACUGCCUCCUCCAUCUCCCCUGGUCACUGAACCACAGCAGCCUCAUCUGGUAUUCCUGACCACAGCAAUUCGAAUACAGACACCUCUACAGCACAGAAAAGGAAGAAAAAAGCUCUACCGGCCACCUGUCACGCCACCCAUUGCACCACCCUCAGGUACUUCACAAUCUGUUUCUCUCUCUCUGUUGUAUCAAUUACUAUUGUUGCUGUAUUGCAAACCAUGUUAAUCAAUGGAGCUUGAUUUUUUUAUUGUGAUUUCUGUGAUAAUAUAGAGGUUGAAAUCUAAUUGUUUAUUUGCUUUUUCAUAUGCAAUUAUUUGUAAAAAAUGUCUAAAUUAUAAUAAACAUAUUUAUUCAACCCUU
Long non-coding RNA from Oncorhynchus masou masou (cherry salmon), 2553 nucleotides. RefSeq lists it as uncharacterized. The record is from RefSeq and is a predicted model, not a curated record. NCBI's taxonomy places the organism in Eukaryota, Metazoa, Chordata, Actinopteri, Salmoniformes, Salmonidae. The transcript has 6 exons.